CCUACGGGAGGCAGCAGUGGGGAAUAUUGGGCAAUGGGCGCAAGCCUGACCCCGCAACGCCGCGUGAAGGAAGAAGGCCUUCGGGUUGUAAACCUCUUUUGUCAGGGAGCAAAGGCGUCCACGUGUGGACGAGAGGAGAGUACCUGAAGAAAAAGCAUCGGCUAACUCCGUGCCAGCAGCCGCGGUAAUACGGAGGAUGCGAGCGUUAUCCGGAUGUAUUGGGUUUAAAGGGUGCGUAGGCGGGCUGUUAAGCCGGCGGUAAAAAUUCAGGGCUCAACCCUGUCGAGCCGUCGGAACGGGCAGUCGUGAGUGGGCGAGAAGUAUGCGGAAUGCGUGGUGUAGCGGUGAAAUGCAUAGAUAGCACGCAGAACGCCGAGUGCGAAGGCAGCAUACCGGCGCCCAACUGACGCUGAGGCACGAAAGCGUGGGGAUCGAACAGGAUCAGAUACCCGAGUAGUC
Molecule: ribosomal RNA, 459 nt
Filed under: uncultured bacterium
Lineage: Bacteria
Description: partial 16S ribosomal RNA
Rfam family: Bacterial small subunit ribosomal RNA
Source: RNAcentral